AAAUCUUAGCGGUGGAUCACUCGGUUUGUGGAUCGAUGAAGAACGCAGCUAGCUGCGAUAAAUAGUGCGAAUUGCAGACACAUUGAGCACUAAAAAUUCGAACACACAUUGCGCCAUCGGGUUCAUUCCCGUUGGCACGUCUGGCUGAGGGUUGAA
Molecule: ribosomal RNA, 156 nt
Filed under: Baylisascaris venezuelensis
Lineage: Eukaryota; Metazoa; Nematoda; Chromadorea; Rhabditida; Ascarididae
Description: 5.8S ribosomal RNA
Rfam family: 5.8S ribosomal RNA
About the family: 5.8S ribosomal RNA (5.8S rRNA) is a component of the large subunit of the eukaryotic ribosome.
Source: RNAcentral